AGGAGCCUGUGGCCAUCAGGCAAGGGAAUUUCUCGCUAGAUGAAGUGAGGUCCUCUCCUCUACACAAUGCCAAGUUCUCUAUUUGAAAACUGAAGUGCAAAACAGCUAGAGCAUGCUGCUGGGCGAAAGUGGAACAGAACAAACAUCAGCAGAG
This is a long non-coding RNA of Cercocebus atys (sooty mangabey), 154 nucleotides long. RefSeq lists it as uncharacterized. The transcript has 3 exons. The record is from RefSeq and is a predicted model, not a curated record. Lineage: Eukaryota; Metazoa; Chordata; Mammalia; Primates; Cercopithecidae.